Molecule: ribosomal RNA, 632 nt
Filed under: fungal sp. Re-H10
Lineage: Eukaryota; Fungi
Description: eukaryotic LSU rRNA
Rfam family: 5.8S ribosomal RNA (bases 218-371)
Source: RNAcentral
GUGAACCUGCGGAAGGAUCAUUAUCGAGUUUUGAACGGGUUGUAGCUGGCCUUUAACGAGGCAUGUGCACACCUGGCUCAUCCACUCUCAACCUCUGUGCACUUUAUGUAAGAAACGGUGUAAGCCAGCUAUUUAAUAGUUGGUAACAAGCCUUUCUUAUGUUUACUACAAACGCUUCAGUUAUAGAAUGUUUACUGUGUAUAACACAAUUAUAUACAACUUUCAGCAACGGAUCUCUUGGCUCUCGCAUCGAUGAAGAACGCAGCGAAAUGCGAUAAGUAAUGUGAAUUGCAGAAUUCAGUGAAUCAUCGAAUCUUUGAACGCACCUUGCACUCCUUGGUAUUCCGAGGAGUAUGCCUGUUUGAGUCUCAUGGAAUUCUCAACCCCUAAAUUUUGUAAUGAAGUUUAGUGGGCUUGGACUUGGAGGUUGUGUCGGCUUCUAGUCGACUCCUCUGAAAUGCAUUAGCGUGAAUCUUACGGAUCGCCUUCAGUGUGAUAAUUAUCUGCGCUGUGGUGUUGAAGUAUUUAUUAGUUCAUGCUUAUAGUCGUCUCUUACCGAGACAAUUUAUGACAAUCUGAGCUCAAAUCAGGUAGGACUACCCGCUGAACUUAAGCAUAUCAAUAAGCGGAGG